This 253-nucleotide ribosomal RNA is filed under the name uncultured bacterium. Its description in RNAcentral is "partial 16S ribosomal RNA". It matches the Rfam family "Bacterial small subunit ribosomal RNA", at positions 524 to 776 of the family's 1533-position model. The record is from RNAcentral.
UACAGAGGUCCCAAGCGUUGUUCGGAUUUACUGGGCGUAAAGGGUGCGUAGGUGGUCAGGUAAGUCUGAUGUGAAAUCUUCGAGCUCAACUCGAAAACUGCAUCGGAUACUAUCUGGCUAGAGGAAUGGAGGGGAGACUGGAAUACUUGGUGUAGCAGUGAAAUGCGUAGAUAUCAAGUGGAACACCAGUGGCGAAGGCGAGUCUCUGGACAUUUCCUGACGCUGAGGCACGAAAGCCUGGGGAGCAAACGGG